RNAcentral lists this ribosomal RNA (492 nucleotides) under uncultured bacterium. RNAcentral describes it as "partial 16S ribosomal RNA". It matches the Rfam family "Bacterial small subunit ribosomal RNA", at positions 29 to 507 of the family's 1533-position model. The record is from RNAcentral.
AGUGAACGCUGGCGGUAGGCCUAACACAUGCAAGUCGAACGGCAGCACAGUAAGAGCUUGCUCUUACGGGUGGCGAGUGGCGGACGGGUGAGGAAUACAUCGGAAUCUACUUUUUCGUGGGGGAUAACGUAGGGAAACUUACGCUAAUACCGCAUACGACCUACGGGUGAAAGCAGGGGAUCUUCGGACCUUGCGCGAUUGAAUGAGCCGAUGUCGGAUUAGCUAGUUGGCGGGGUAAAGGCCCACCAAGGCGACGAUCCGUAGCUGGUCUGAGAGGAUGAUCAGCCACACUGGAACUGAGACACGGUCCAGACUCCUACGGGAGGCAGCAGUGGGGAAUAUUAGACAAUGGGCGCAAGCCUGAUCCAGCCGUACCGCGUGGGUGAAGAAGGCCUUCGGGUUGUAAAGCCCUUUUGUUGGGAAAGAAAAGCAGCAGGUUAAUACCCCGCUGUUCUGACGGUACCCAAAGAAUAAGCACCGGCUAACUUCGUG